RNA transcript from Etheostoma cragini (Arkansas darter), 1575 nucleotides. It is a transcript of the gene named 4-galactosyl-N-acetylglucosaminide 3-alpha-L-fucosyltransferase 9-like, with no coding region annotated. The transcript is spliced from 3 exons. The record is from RefSeq and is a predicted model, not a curated record. NCBI's taxonomy places the organism in Eukaryota, Metazoa, Chordata, Actinopteri, Perciformes, Percidae.
AGUAUUUAAGCUAUGAUGAGAAGAGGGAGUGUCAGUCAGAUGUCCCAUCUGAAGGGAUGAACCUUUGAACAAUGAGAGAAUAGACCAGACGUUCUUGAGUUAGUUUAAUUUGUCAGACUGGUGCUACUUCAUUCUCGAUCCUGCAGAAUAUCUACACACUCAUCUUCAACUCCAAGGGACAAGCAGGUUUAUCAUGUCUUCAAUCUCUUCUUAUUUCCGACCCGCCCUGACAGUGAUUACACUGCUGGCUGGACUCACAGUCCUCUUUUUAAUGUACUAUAAUUCUUUUCCAUCUCCAAAAUGUCAUCCUCCCCCGUCUCAUGUACAGAAGCCGCACACAGACAAGCCUGUGGUGCUGCUGUGGUUCUGGCCUGAAAACAAAAUGUUUGAUUUUAAAGACUGUAAGACGCUUUUUGAUAUUGACAGCUGCCACCUCACAGACGAUAGAUCUUUAUACUCCAAGGCUCAUGGAGUUUUGUUAUUUCACAGAGCGAUCCAGGAUGACCUCUCCAACCUCCCCACCUCACAUAGGGAGAAAUUUCAGAGGUGGAUCUGGUUUAACACAGACUCGCCAACCAACACGCGCAGGAUAGAAGGCAUCAAAAACCUUUUUAAUUUAACCAUGAGCUACAGGAAGGACGCGGAUAUCCACCUUCGCUGGCGAUUGACUCUCAGGAAGAAAACAGAUGAAGAUUUUGUGCUACCCAAGAAGGAACGACUGCUUUGUUGGAUUGUGGAUAACCUUGACCUCAACACAGCAGGUGAGGGAUACAAAUACUACAAACAGCUUUUAAAACACAUCAAGGUGGAAAUAUAUGACCGCUCCUCUGACGAGUUCUGGAAGGAUGAGAACUAUUUCCAGAUCAUCAGCAGCUGCAAAUUCUACCUUUCUUUUGAGAAUUCAAUUCACAAAGAUUACAUCACAGAAAAGUUCAAUGGACCUCUUGCGGCAGGCACUGUGCCAAUAGUUUUGGGACCACCAAGAAUUAACUAUGAAGAUUUCGCCCCAGGUAAUUCCUUUAUACAUGUAAAGGACUUCCCUGAUGCCGCGUCACUCGCUGAGUUUCUCUUGAAGCUGGAUCAGAAUAACACGGCUUAUAUGAGCUACUUUAACUGGCGCUCAUUCUAUAUUGCCAGACGUCAUCUUACUGAGCAGAAUCAUGAGUUUGCAUACGCCAUCUGCCAGGCCUGUUAUUACAUUGGUCUAGAAAUGAACAGCAAGUUCCGAGUUGUACCUGAUCUGUACAAGUGGUUCUUACUGUCAUAGUGUCAUGGAUCUACUGUUCCUCUGAACUGGUUAAAGAGAAUCAUGUGAUGUUAUGUAAAUACUCUUGUAUUGACUGGAAAGAAAAAACAAUGAAUGGCGUAUGUAUUCAUUUUACGUUUUUGGUGAUGUGAUAUCUGAUUUGAAAACACAAGCUGAUGUCAUUUAAGUUAGUUUGUUUUUCCCUUAUACAUUGUUUUGGUGUUUCACAGUCUCCAUUAAACAUCAGGAUGUCUUAUUUAAUGUGAUUACGGGCAUGAUGAUAAAUACUUAUGGUACAAUAUGUCCAUGUUAAUAAAAAAAACAAAAGA